ACGGCCCUGCUGAUUCAUCCAUUUGCAGUGAUCCUCUUGAAUUUUCUGAUUGUGUCUAUUAGCAUCAAGUUGCCAUUACUAAGGAACAUAUAGAGACAGAGAGGAAAACAGGAGAAUUAGAUGUGUUGAAGGACUAACACCAAAGUACUGGAGUAGCCUGAGAAGUUUAGAGGGAGUAGAGAGGAUAGGAUGAGAGAGGAAGAGAUACUAAACAU
Amphimedon queenslandica is the source of this 215-nucleotide long non-coding RNA. RefSeq lists it as uncharacterized. The record is from RefSeq and is a predicted model, not a curated record. The transcript is spliced from 3 exons. NCBI's taxonomy places the organism in Eukaryota, Metazoa, Porifera, Demospongiae, Haplosclerida, Niphatidae.